CCACCAUGCCCAGCCUAUACCACAACCCUUAUUCAGCUGGUCUCCCCCGGGGAGGCUUCAUCUAACAGAGCCAAGACUGUCCUCUCCAUACACUUAGGUUUCCUACAUGAAGAAUUGUCAAUACUACGCUCCCUCAACUAUAUUCAACCAAGGAUCUGCGUGAAACUUUUUCUAAGGUACCAUCUCAAAUAUAUUCAACCACGGAACUGCGUGUAACUUUUUCUAAGGUACCAUCUCAAAUAUAUUCAACCACGGAACUGCGUGUAACUUUUUCUAAGGUACCAUCUCAAAUCACAAGGCCUGGGAUUGGGAAAUUGUUUUACUUUACUAAAGACCACUGUAACUCAAUAAACGAACUUAGAUUAGAAAAUCAGAGGAAGACCACUACUCCUCUCGGAUUGCAUGGCCACUGUCUUCAGCUGUUUUCUGUAGUGAUUGUUUCUAGGUAUUUUACCUAUUUUACCAACCUUUUUCACUUUUUGCACUGAAUAGUGCUAAGGGAAAAAAAGGAUGGGGAAAGGAGUGGCAGUAUCUAUAGCUAGAGGGUCGUCCUAUUUGUGGAAAACUUUAUUGUCUACUUUAGUGGGUCCUGAAUAUUAGUCCAGUCCUUACUGCCCAGCACUUAAGGAAGAAAGGUCUAAUGUGACUGUAUGGGGGUUGAAGUAGGUACCAAAGGAAAAGCAGUUCCCACCACCUCCAAGGAGCAGGAGCUGUUGCUCUUCAGGAAGAAGGAUGCUAGUAUGGUUGUGUAACAUUAAUGGCCAUGGCACAUAUGUUGUGUCAAUCUGAUACUCAGAGCUCAAUCCUGUAGUCAAAUUGAUCACAGUCACUCCAGGAAAUGAGGAGGAAUGAAUCCAGAUCCCUCCAACCAGUAACAGCUUUCCAUUGAGCACAUGAGCUGUGUGGGAGUACCUUGGGGUAAUGGGAGGCUGGAUGUCUACUGACUCCCAGAGGAAUCCACAAGAGAUUGGUCUCAGAAAGAGCACAGAGUUCAAUGGCUCCUCAGAAGC
This 1010-nucleotide long non-coding RNA is filed under the name Pan troglodytes (chimpanzee). RNAcentral's name for it is "long non-coding RNA NONPTRT005319". The record is from RNAcentral. Lineage: Eukaryota; Metazoa; Chordata; Mammalia; Primates; Hominidae.